GGGGGCAUAGCUCAGCUGGGAGAGCGGUGCGUUCGCAACGCACAGGUCAUGGGUUCGAGUCCCACUGUCUCCA
Molecule: transfer RNA, 73 nt
Filed under: Bacillota bacterium
Lineage: Bacteria; Bacillati; Bacillota
Also listed under: 2 other names
Description: tRNA-Ala
Rfam family: tRNA
About the family: Transfer RNA (tRNA) molecules are approximately 80 nucleotides in length. Their secondary structure includes four short double-helical elements and three loops (D, anti-codon, and T loops).
Source: RNAcentral